This 459-nucleotide ribosomal RNA is filed under the name uncultured bacterium. Its description in RNAcentral is "bacterial SSU rRNA". It matches the Rfam family "Bacterial small subunit ribosomal RNA", at positions 29 to 524 of the family's 1533-position model. The record is from RNAcentral.
AACGAACGCUGGCGGCAGGCUUAACACAUGCAAGUCGAGCGCUCCCUUCGGGGAGAGCGGCGGACGGGUGAGUAACGCGUGGGAACGUGCCCCUGGGUAAGGAACAACAGCUGGAAACGGCUGCUAAUACCUUAUGAUGUCUUCCGGUAACGGUUGACCAAAGAUUUAUCGCCCAGGGAUCGGCCCGCGUCGGAUUAGGUAGUUGGUGGGGUAACGGCCCACCAAGCCGACGAUCCGUAGCUGGUUUGAGAGGAUGAUCAGCCACACUGGGACUGAGACACGGCCCAGACUCCUACGGGAGGCAGCAGUGGGGAAUCUUGGACAAUGGGGCAACCCUGAUCCAGCCAUGCCGCGUGAGCGAAGAAGGCCUUAGGGUUGUAAAGCUCUUUCACCGGUGAAGAUAAUGACGGUAGCCGGAGAAGAAGCCCCGGCUAACUCCGUGCCAGCAGCCGCGGUAAU